AGGAUGAACGCUGGCGGCGUGCCUAACACAUGCAAGUCGAACGUCCUGUCUCGCAAGAGGCAGGGAGUGGCGGACGGGUGAGUACCACGUGGGUGAUCUACCGUGAGGUGAGGAAUACCGGCGAGAAAUCGCCGACAAGACCGCAUAGUCUCGGUGCAAGCCGAGGAAAGCUUUCUCGAGAGAGGGAGCGCCACACGAGGAGCCUGCGCCCGAUUAGCUAGCUGGUGGAGUAACGGUUCACCAGGGCGACGAUCGGUAGCUGGUCUGAGAGGACGAUCAGCCACACUGGGAUUGAGAACGGCCCAGACUCCUACGGGGGGCAGCAGUGAGGAAUUUUCGUCAAUGGGGGCAACCCUGAACGAGCAACGCCGCGUGCAGGAAGAAGGUUUUCGGAUCGUAAACUGCUUUUCGUCGGGGAAGAGAACGGACGGUACCCGAGGAAUCAGCCCCGGCUAACUACGUGCCAGCAGCCGCGGUAA
RNAcentral lists this ribosomal RNA (479 nucleotides) under uncultured bacterium. RNAcentral describes it as "SSU rRNA". It matches the Rfam family "Bacterial small subunit ribosomal RNA", at positions 26 to 523 of the family's 1533-position model. The record is from RNAcentral.